GUUAAAUUUGGUACCCACUUGCAUAUAUAAUAUGACUUUGAUAGUUAUGUUUUGUUGUUCUAUUGUAUAAGGGUCAUCUUGAUGCCUUACAUGUAAAAACUGUAGAGGCUGUCUUUUUGAAAAAGAUAGAACAGUGUUGGAGUUUUUGGUUGAAUUUCUUCAUAAAUAGGCUAACUAGAUUGGCAAAAACAAUGUGUAAAAUAAGCUCUUUUGAAAUUCAGUUACUUUAUGCUAGGCCUUCUAUAAUGAUCAAAAGUCAAUAUUGUAUAAAGCAAUUACUUUUAUGCAAUAUUGGUUAAAAUUAUGAUUGUUUCUCCUGACAUUACUUUUUGCUAUGUUCGUCAUGCAAAGUGAGCAAAAAUUUCUUUUGGAACUUGCUUUAUGUAUAAUUAUGUUUCAAGUUAUUAACAAAGCAAACAUGUGAUGAGAAUGAUUUUGAGGAGAAGGUUGGCGCUUGGCUAUGAGAGAUGGAGGGAGGUAAAUUUGCUGCAUAGAAAUAUAACAGAAGUUAUAGAGAAUUUCCAAAUAAGGAUCUUACAAAUAUGGAGGAAAGUCUUAUAAAUAUCCAAAUUACUUUCCUUGAAUGCCAAAUAAGCACAAUAAGUCAUUCAGUUUGAAGGACAAUGCUCUUUAAGAUCUGAAGAUGGUAUAGUGAUUGGAUGGGUUUUGAUUGAUAUUACAUGGAAGUUUCUGCAGGUUUACUCUCAUUAUCAUGUAAUGAAGGAAUUGGUGGAAUAAGACCACAAGAGUAAAGUAGAAAUGGAAAAAUACAUGGCUCUGGUCACGAUCCUACAAUCUCUUAAUGACACAUUACGUGUAAGUAGAUUUUUUUUAUAUUUGUAGAAAUUAAGCCUAAAUGUCUAUUCAUUCUUAAUUUUGUAGGAUCCUGCAAAGAUCCUACAAUCUCUUCUAACACAUUACCUAAAAACAAUAAACUUGGGUGAAGGAAAUAGCUAGCUUGAUCUACUAUCUAAGCAGGUUGUUAUGCUUGCGUAAUAGGUAUUAUAUGUACUUGGGUUUCUUUCAUUUACUUCUUUUUUGCCUGUAAUGCAAUUGAAGUGGAAAACAAAUGAGAAAGCAGUUGGUAAUAACCUCCAUGAAGAAAAAUGCAGGGGAAUUGGGUCUGAUGGAGAAGUUUUUCACGUUCUUGAGAGAAUUAGAUGUUCCUUUGGAGCAGAAUCAACAGCUCAAACACUAUGUCAUGACGGUAUUUGUUAUGGUGAGUUUUCUACUCAGUUGCACAAAAACUGAGGAUCACAAACCCCAUAUGUGAUUAAUUGAAGGUAUUGUAUUUGUUUUAGUAGACACAAAACUACAUUGCGUUUCACUGUACUUAUCUUAUUGACAAUGACCCACGAGGCUACUCACAUUGAGAGAUUUUUCUUCCUAUUCUAAGCAAGCAAUAUUGGGACUCUUUUAUAAUACACAAAGAUAAUGACGAUAAUGAUUCCUUGA
This is an RNA transcript of Tripterygium wilfordii, 1455 nucleotides long. RefSeq lists it as uncharacterized. NCBI's taxonomy places the organism in Eukaryota, Viridiplantae, Streptophyta, Magnoliopsida, Celastrales, Celastraceae. The record is from RefSeq and is a predicted model, not a curated record. The transcript has 6 exons.